Molecule: long non-coding RNA, 1877 nt
Filed under: Gadus morhua (Atlantic cod)
Lineage: Eukaryota; Metazoa; Chordata; Actinopteri; Gadiformes; Gadidae
Description: lncRNA (ENSGMOG00000022310.1)
Source: RNAcentral
UGAUAUGCCAACCAGACGUUCUCUCAGUCAGCAUCCACUGUGUCAAUCAGUCGGCAGUGCUCUCCUGGACCCCCGUUGGUGAUGUGGUGGGAUACUCAGCCUCUGCUGAGAACGAGGCAGGCCACAUGCUGUUCUGUAACAGCAGCUCAGAGCCCACCUGCACCAUGGGCGGCCUCCAGUGUGGAUCCCAGUAUAACUUCUCCGUCCAGGCCUCUGACGGGACUUGCAACCGCUCCAUCAGUGAGCCAGUGCUGGCCGGAGGAGGUACCACAGAGAUGUUCAUUCAUAAAGCAUAUCAUACGAUGUCCAUUAUUACCAUUAUUAUAUUCGUUUUUUGACCCAAAUUGAUUGGGUUGAGUUAAAUUGGGCUCUUCUUAUUACUAUUUGGGAUUGGAGCGUAUUGGAGUAGUAUAGGGGGCAGCAUAGUCGCAGGUCAAGGCUGUUUGACUCUCAGUCAACAGGUUCUGGGUCAGAACCCUGAUGUCUGCAGUCUACUUGUUUGCGUCCUGGCGGAGGCCUAACCCCCGCCUCCGUGCAUGCAUCUGAAUAGUUGUAGAUACGUAUAUAUGUAUCGAAGGCUACUUGUAUAACUACCUUUUUUUUUUACAUAUGUUCAAAGUCGAUUUGCUGUCUGUCUGGCCCAGUCCCAUGUCCUCCAGAAGAUCUUCAGGUGCAGCUGUUGCCCAUGGAAAGUGCAGUCCAGACACUGCAUUUUGAGUGGUCCCAGGUUGCAUGUCCAGAUGUCCAGUACCAGCUGAUCUUGACUGGCAGCAUAUUAGGGGACAGCCAAGCACAGUUUGAGCUCUCUUCAUAUUGGACAAACUCAACCUUUUUUGAAAUGCCCCUCCCCUGCGGCUCAUCCUACCUGGCUAUGGUGCAGGGCAGAGGACCCGCUGGCACCAGUGCGCCAUCUGAGGCUUUAAAUGGAACUACAGCUCCAUGUUCGCCUGCAAACGUGACUUUCAGAGGCAGUACUGCCUCAGCCGUCCUCUCAUGGUACGACUCUGUGUUCGCCACCUACUACACGGUGUACGACAACCGGACGGCGCCCCCGAGCCAAUUGUGCAACCUCACUGAGCUCACCUGCAGCCUGACUGAAGUCCCUCAUGGCAGCGUUCUCAUCACUGCCAGCAACGCAGCGGGCGAGAGUGAUUCGGCCCCUGUCGAAAGAGUGAUAGGAGGAGGACGUAGCAGGAGGGACCUCAGGGACAACAACAAGGGUGAGUUCUCUUUCUUUGGGGAUCAUUUUUGUGUUUAUUAGCCUACUGUAUUAUUAGCCUACUGAAGAAGAUACCACAGAUCUUGACUUUCAUGCAAUGCCCAUUUAUAUGGGCAUAGGGAUGAGUAUGUCCAAACCCUUUUAUGUCUCCAAUGGAGUGCGGCAGGGCGGAAUUCUGCAGCAGCUUCUUAGAAUAUGCUCUCAAUAUGGCAUAAUGUAUGAUAUUAAAUUUAACUCAACGAAAAGUGUGGUGCUGAUUUCUAGAACCAAGGAGGAUAGGAAGCUUUUCCUUCUUUCUCACUCGCAGGUGAACCGCUAGUGGUUGUAAAGAAGGUUAAAUAUCUGGGACAUGUGAUAAGAGAUGAACUCUGUGAUGAUGAUGUGCAGCGUCAAUGUGGUAUAUUGUAUGGGCAGGCAAACAUGCUGGCUCGCAAAUUCUGCAUGUGUACUACUGAUGUUAAAAUAUCGCUCUUCAAUACGUAUUGCACACUGUAUACUGCCCACCAGUGGUGUAAGCGAAAAUGAAAAAACUUCAAGUGACAUAUAAUGGUGCUCUGAGAAUUUUGCUUAAAACUCCCAGGAGGGGUAGUGCCAGUGAAGUGUUCGUGAUAAAACAAUGUGCCCACUUUUAAUGCUGUUCUGAGAAAUUGUAUGCAUA